CCUACGGGUGGCAGCAGUAGGGAAUCUUUCACAAUGGGCGAAAGCCUGAUGGAGCAACGCCGCGUGCAGGAUGAAGGCCUUCGGGUUGUAAACUGCUUUUAUAAGCGAGAAAUAUGAUGGUAACUUAUGAAUAAGGAUCGGCUAACUACGGUCCAGCAGCCGCGGUCAUACGUAGGAUCCGAGCAUUAUCCGGAGUGACUGGGUGUAAAGAGUUGCGUAGGUGGCAUAAUAAGUAGCUAGUGAAAUCUGGUGGCUUAACCAUUCAGACUAUUAGCUAAACUGUUAAGCUCGGGACCGUAAGGGGUAACGGGAGUUUAUGGGGUAGGAGUGAAAUCGUGAGAUAUUAGAAAGAACACCGAUGGCGAAGGGAGGUUACGGGGACGGUUCUGACACGAAGGCACGAAAGCGUAGGGAGCAAACGGGAUUAGAUACCCGAGUAGU
RNAcentral lists this ribosomal RNA (441 nucleotides) under uncultured bacterium. RNAcentral describes it as "partial 16S ribosomal RNA". It matches the Rfam family "Bacterial small subunit ribosomal RNA", at positions 338 to 794 of the family's 1533-position model. The record is from RNAcentral.